UGGGGAAUAUUGCACAAUGGGCGCAAGCCUGAUGCAGCCAUGCCGCGUGUGUGAAGAAGGCCUUCGGGUUGUAAAGCACUUUCAGCGAGGAGGAAGGUGGUGAGCUUAAUACGCUCAUCAAUUGACGUUACUCGCAGAAGAAGCACCGGCUAACUCCGUGCCAGCAGCCGCGGUAAUACGGAGGGUGCAAGCGUUAAUCGGAAUUACUGGGCGUAAAGCGCACGCAGGCGGUUUGUUAAGUCAGAUGUGAAAUCCCCGGGCUCAACCUGGGAACUGCAUUUGAAACUGGCAAGCUAGAGUCUCGUAGAGGGGGGUAGAAUUCCAGGUGUAGCGGUGAAAUGCGUAGAGAUCUGGAGGGAUACCGGUGGCGAAGGCGGCCCCCUGGACGAAGACUGACGCUCAGGUGCGAAAGCGUGGGGCAGCAAACAGGAUUAGAUACCCUGGUAGUCCACGCUGUAAACGAUGUCGAUUUUGGAGGUUGUGCCCUUGAGGCGUGGCUUCCGGAGCUAACGCGUUAAAGUCGACCGCCU
Molecule: ribosomal RNA, 530 nt
Filed under: uncultured bacterium
Lineage: Bacteria
Description: partial 16S ribosomal RNA
Rfam family: Bacterial small subunit ribosomal RNA
Source: RNAcentral